Molecule: non-coding RNA, 24 nt
Filed under: Arabidopsis thaliana (thale cress)
Lineage: Eukaryota; Viridiplantae; Streptophyta; Magnoliopsida; Brassicales; Brassicaceae
Source: RNAcentral
UGAUAACAUAGCAGGGUCCCUUGG